AAAGCAGGGAUUGUGUGUAUCGGCUUAGUGCUAGCAAUGCACUUGUACGAAAGAUUUCCCUUGCAAAAUCAUUUUGGGGCAGAUGGGCAGUUGUGAUUCAUAUACUCUAUUGAAUAACUCAACAAUCAUCUUCUCCACAUUU
This 142-nucleotide small nucleolar RNA is filed under the name Brassica napus (rape). RNAcentral's name for it is "snoRNA snoR135". It matches the Rfam family "small nucleolar RNA snoR135". The record is from Rfam by way of RNAcentral. Lineage: Eukaryota; Viridiplantae; Streptophyta; Magnoliopsida; Brassicales; Brassicaceae.